This 429-nucleotide ribosomal RNA is filed under the name Chloroflexota bacterium. RNAcentral's name for it is "Chloroflexi bacterium partial 16S ribosomal RNA". It matches the Rfam family "Bacterial small subunit ribosomal RNA", at positions 355 to 776 of the family's 1533-position model. The record is from RNAcentral. Lineage: Bacteria; Bacillati; Chloroflexota. RNAcentral also lists the same sequence under 1 other name.
UAGGGAAUCUUCGGCAAUGGACGAAAGUCUGACCGAGCAACGCCGCGUGAGUGAAGAAGGUUUUCGGAUCGUAAAACUCUGUUGUUAGAGAAGAACAAGGACGUUAGUAACUGAACGUCCCCUGACGGUAUCUAACCAGAAAGCCACGGCUAACUACAUGCCAGCAGCCGCGGUAAUACGUAGGUGGCAAGCGUUGUCCGGAUUUAUUGGGCGUAAAGCGAGCGCAGGCGGUUUCUUAAGUCUGAUGUGAAAGCCCCCGGCUCAACCGGGGAGGGUCAUUGGAAACUGGGAGACUUGAGUGCAGAAGAGGAGAGUGGAAUUCCAUGUGUAGCGGUGAAAUGCGUAGAUAUAUGGAGGAACACCAGUGGCGAAGGCGGCUCUCUGGUCUGUAACUGACGCUGAGGCUCGAAAGCGUGGGGAGCAAACAGG